This 217-nucleotide RNase P RNA is filed under the name bacterium. RNAcentral describes it as "RNase P RNA component class A". It matches the Rfam family "Bacterial RNase P class A", at positions 20 to 222 of the family's 367-position model. Rfam says of the family: Ribonuclease P (RNase P) is a ubiquitous endoribonuclease, found in archaea, bacteria and eukarya as well as chloroplasts and mitochondria. The record is from RNAcentral.
UCCCGCUGCCUUGCGGCGGGAAGGAAAGUCCGGACACCAGCGGGCAGGACGCCCCGGGAAACCGGGGGUCCCGCGUCCCAUAUGGCGCGGGAACGGACAGCGCCACAGAAAACAUACCGCCUCACGGCCUCCGGGCCGUGCGGCAAGGGUGAAAUGGUGGGGUAAGAGCCCACCGCCCCGCUGGCAACAGCGGGGGCACGGCAAGCCCCGUCCGGCG